RNAcentral lists this long non-coding RNA (2299 nucleotides) under Olea europaea subsp. europaea. Lineage: Eukaryota; Viridiplantae; Streptophyta; Magnoliopsida; Lamiales; Oleaceae. The record is from RNAcentral.
AUCGCUUCUCAGUCAUUAAAUACAGAAAACUGAGAAAAGCAAAGUUUAUGACUUACUUUAUUUCUCUGAUGUGUGUUUUCUUCUAAGCAUCUGACUUACUUUAUGUCUCUGAUGUGUGUUUUCUUCUAAACAUCUUUUCUUUUUGCUUGAUAUUUGAAGCGAAACCUCGUUGCAGGUUAUAAAGGUGUCACGGAACCGAAGAAGAGCUUACCAGGAGCGUGCGCAACCGUGAAUUAUUUAUUAUUUUGUUCACAUUUUCUUCUUUGUUUUCUUUACUUUAUUUUUAGUCCACUUUGUUUUGUAAUGUAUGUUAAACGUUAUUUGAGUUUCAAAAUGGGGUUUUAGAUUUUGAAGUUAUAUAUUUUACCCUGAUGUUAUGUCCCUGUAGGAACUCAAGGAAAAAGGCGGUAUUAAGGAACCCAGAUGAUCAACUCAAUAACCGUUAAUGGAAUCCAUAAGCCAAAGUGAGAGAAUGAACUGUCCGGUGAAAUUGUUAUUGCUAUUAUUUCUUUCUUAAAUUUCAUUGGCUUCUUGUUUGAUACAAUUGAAAGGAGCCAAGAUGAUAAGCUCGCAAUGCUAGACACUGGAUAUAUCACGAAUGUGAGUGGACUAUCGAUACAAUUGGUAAGUCGGAGGGGCACCCCGUUGGAAUUAGUGAUAAUUUGAGGUGGUAAAAUCUAAUCUAUCAAGAGAACUCAAGCACAUCCCAUCGCAUUCAUUAUACUGAAAAUCUAUUUGUUUGAUGCAGAAAAUUGAAAUGCUAACUGCAACGCUGCGUUCUCUUGGCUAUCAGUAUCAGUCAUCAGGCGUACGCGUUUAUCGCGCUGAAGACAGGUAGAGAAUUACCCCUUUCCUCUGAUUCUUGAUCUUUUGGCAAAGUCACAGCAAUUUUGUUUACUACUACUAUAGUUGUUUUGCAUUAUCAUUUUGUGUUCUUUAUUUUUCUGUAUUAUUACCAAAUGACGUAAUUACUUUCGAGGUGUAUCUCUUGUUUGGACUUUCGUCAACUUUUUUCACCAUGAUAAUUGUUUUAGAGGGGAAAUCUGGAUAUUCGAUGAAAGACAAUUUAUUUGAAUGUCCAGACAUUAACUGGCUAUCAGUUCAAAGGUUACUCUUUACCUUUCGAAUCAAAAAAAGAUUUCUACCCUUUGCUAAAACUGCAUGAUAUUUCUUUCCCCCUGUCAUUUAGUUUUUACCAAAAUCUCUUUCAUAUAAUAUCUCCUUAGAAGUUCUGUGUCGUAAAAUUUUACCCUCCUUUACUCUGAAAAUUGGGUUCUAUUUGAUACUCUGAAAAUUACAAUAAAAGUUUAGAAGAAAUUGGACGAAAUUGAUGCAGAGUUGCUUCUUUAUACAUAUUGGAAAACUGAUAUUCGACUCUUCAAUUUGAGUUCUAAUGAUUGAUAUAUUGCUUGAAAAUGAAACUUUAAAUUUGCUAAUAUCUUGAUCCGGUUUUAUGUCUCUACUGGAAAUUAGACUUCGAAAUUCGUCUGAGUAUCCCUUUGAAAUGCGCUUUGAAAUAUAUAGUAUAGGCAUUUUAGCUUUCUUUGGUAGCCAGUGUGAUGCAACAAUAUACAUUAAAUUCAAUAGAGAUUGUUUAUGAAUUUUUUAUGAUGGAUUGUUUCAACUGGAGCACCUACUAUCCCUAUAAGCCAAUGUAGUUGUGUUUAGUUUUAUUUAAAUCUAUAGUAAAUUUUGUUUUCCAAUUCGACGGUAGACCAGGUAAAUCUUCCAGAAAGAACUUCAGGAAAUUCCUUCACUACAAGAAUUUCUUCUGGUGAUCUAAGUUCUGUGAUUUAGAUUUGGCUUAAACAAAUUGGAGAUGAAAAAUUUCUAGGGAAAGUUUACUUUGAUAUCAUAAUAAACUCAAAUUUUUUUUUAUUUUUAUGACAAUCUAUGACAACUUGAUAUUUUAAAAGCCAAUCCAUCCUUGGGAUUAUUUCAAAUAUCCGAAGGGUUAUUGAUACUAUAUGUGCUCCAAGAAAAACAGGUCCUACUAAUAUAGGAAUUUUUGGGAUCAGGAACUUUGUUUUCUGUGUAAAUCCAAAAGGUUUUAUUUUUAUUUUUUUCCUUCCUUUGCAGCGCAAACGUAAAAAAUGAAAUUGUUUAUGUCCAACUUCGAGACCUAUGCACAGAAUGGCGUUCAGAACGAAAAAUGAAGACUCAGAUUAUAUACAUCAGUUUGUAGGAAAAUGGAAAUGUGUAGUAUAGGCAUUUUAGCUUUCUUUCAUAGCCAGUGUGAUACAACAGUAUACAUUAAAUUCAAUAGAGAUUGUUUAUGAAUUUCUGAUGAUGGAUCGUG